RNAcentral lists this ribosomal RNA (864 nucleotides) under delta proteobacterium SCGC AAA240-O18. RNAcentral describes it as "SSU rRNA". It matches the Rfam family "Bacterial small subunit ribosomal RNA", at positions 32 to 917 of the family's 1533-position model. The record is from RNAcentral. Lineage: Bacteria; Deltaproteobacteria.
AACGCUGGCGGCAUGCCUAACACAUGCAAGUCGAACGAGAAAGUUCCUUCGGGAGCAAUUAAAGUGGCGCACGGGUGAGUAACGCGUAGACAAUCUGCCCUUCAGUCUGGGACAACUUUUCGAAAGGAGAGCUAAUACCGGAUGACAAUGUAACACAUAAGUGUCACAUUUGAAAGCUCCGGCGCUGAAGGAGGGGUUUGCGUCCCAUUAGCUAGUUGGUAGGGUAAAGGCUUACCAAGGCGACGAUGGGUAGCGGGUUUGAGAGGACGAUCCGCCACACUGGAACUGAGACACGGUCCAGACUCCUACGGGAGGCAGCAGUGGGGAAUAUUGCACAAUGGAGGCAACUCUGAUGCAGCAAUGUCGCGUGAGUGAAGAAGGCCCUUGGGUCGUAAAGCUCUUUUAUGGGGGAAGAUGAUGACGGUACCCCAAGAAUAAGCACCGGCUAACUAUGUGCCAGCAGCCGCGGUAAUACAUAGGGUGCGAGCGUUGUUCGGAAUUACUGGGCGUAAAGGGCGCGCAGGCGGAAUAGUAAGUCGGAGGUGAAAGCCCGGGGCUCAACCCCGGAGGGUCUUUCGAAACUGCUAAUCUAGAGAGGGUCAGGGGCCGGCAGAAUUCCUGGUGUAGAGGUGAAAUUCGUAGAUAUCAGGAGGAAUACCGGUGGCGAAGGCGGCCGGCUGGGGCCACUCUGACGCUGAGGCGCGAAAGCGUGGGGAGCAAACAGGAUUAGAUACCCUGGUAGUCCACGCCGUAAACGAUGAGCACUGGACGUCCGGAGGGUUCGACCCUUCUGGGUGUUUCAGCUAACGCAUUAAGUGCUCCGCCUGGGGAGUACGGUCGCAGACUAAACUCAAUGAUGACGGU